RNAcentral lists this ribosomal RNA (468 nucleotides) under uncultured bacterium. RNAcentral's name for it is "partial 16S ribosomal RNA". It matches the Rfam family "Bacterial small subunit ribosomal RNA", at positions 28 to 507 of the family's 1533-position model. The record is from RNAcentral.
GACGAACGCUGGCGGCGUGCUUAACACAUGCAAGUCGAACGGAAAGGCCCUGCUUUUGUGGGGUGCUCGAGUGGCGAACGGAUGAGUAACACGUGAGUAACCUGCCCUUGACUUUGGGAUAACUUCAGGAAACUGGGGCUAAUACCGGAUAGGAGCUCCUGCUGCAUGGUGGGGGUUGGAAAGUUUCGGCGGUUGGGGAUGGACUCGCGGCUUAUCAGCUUGUUGGUGGGGUAGUGGCUUACCAAGGCUUUGACGGGUAGCCGGCCUGAGAGGGUGACCGGCCACAUUGGGACUGAGAUACGGCCCAGACUCCUACGGGAGGCAGCAGUGGGGAAUAGUGCACAAUGGGCUGAAGCCUGAUGCAGCAACGCCGCGUGCGGGAUGACGGCCUUCGGGUUGUAAACCGCUUUCGCCUGUGACGAAGCGUGAGUGACGGUAAUGGGUAAAGAAGCACCGGCUAACUACGUG